GGUAAUGUGGGAGUUUGUUUUAUGAAUAAGAAAAUGUGGGAGUUUGUUUUAUAAAUAAGUAAAUGUGGGAAUUGUGGUUUGGAAUGGAAAUAAAGAUGGGGUUUGGAAUAUAUGAAGUAGAAGAUAAGGAAUAUGGGGUUUUGGGGUUUGGGGUUUCGGAUUUUAGGGAUUUAAACGUACUACUCGUUAAUUCCUCGUAAGUUGACGUCGAACUUACGACGUAAUCCUCGUUUAUUCCACGUAGGACAGAAUCGUCGUAAAGGACUUGUUAGGUAACGUGGAAAUAACGACGAAAUUAAAAAAAAUAAAGAAAUCGAAACCCGUUAAUUCCACGUAGGACGGAAUCGUCGUAAACACCUCGUAACAUAAAUAGUCGUAAAUAUCCCGUAUAGUGAAUGACAAACGAGGCACUCUUUAAUUCCAUGUAGGACAGAAUCGUCGUAAACACCUCGUAACACAAAUCGUCGUAAACACCUCGUAGAGAAAAAACUAGAAAAAAAAGAAAAAGAAGAGAGAUACCAGAUUUACAUGUGGCAAGACUUCCA
This 545-nucleotide long non-coding RNA is filed under the name Brassica rapa (field mustard). Its description in RNAcentral is "long non-coding RNA (BRAP_LNC003776)". Lineage: Eukaryota; Viridiplantae; Streptophyta; Magnoliopsida; Brassicales; Brassicaceae. The record is from RNAcentral.